UACGGAAGGCAGCAGUGGGGAAUAUUGUACAAUGGGCGCAAGCCUGAUGCAGCCAUGCCGCGUGUAUGAAGAAGGCCUUCGGGUUGUAAAGUACUUUCAGUCGUGAGGAAGGUGUUAAGGUUAAUAACCUUAGCAAUUGACGUUAGCGACAGAAGAAGCACCGGCUAACUCCGUGCCAGCAGCCGCGGUAAUACGGAGGGUGCGAGCGUUAAUCGGAAUUACUGGGCGUAAAGGGCACGCAGGCGGUUAAUUAAGUUGGAUGUGAAAUCCCCGGGCUUAACCUGGGAAUGGCAUUCAAGACUGGUUAGCUAGAGUCUUGUAGAGGGGGUAGAAUUCCAUGUGUAGCGGUGAAAUGCGUAGAGAUGUGGAGGAAUACCGGUGGCGAAGGCGGCCCCUGGACAAAGACUGACGCUCAUGUGCGAAAGCGUGGGGAGCAAACAGGGAUUAGAUACC
This 453-nucleotide ribosomal RNA is filed under the name uncultured bacterium. RNAcentral describes it as "bacterial SSU rRNA". It matches the Rfam family "Bacterial small subunit ribosomal RNA", at positions 340 to 786 of the family's 1533-position model. The record is from RNAcentral.